This 283-nucleotide long non-coding RNA is filed under the name Olea europaea (common olive). RNAcentral describes it as "long non-coding RNA (OEUR_LNC008298)". Lineage: Eukaryota; Viridiplantae; Streptophyta; Magnoliopsida; Lamiales; Oleaceae. The record is from RNAcentral.
GCUAAUGCAAGAAUCAAUACUAAAGACUACAUUUACUCAACUCUCUCAGUGACUUGCAAUACAUAAAUCGAGUUUAUACACUUUUACAUAUACAUCUACGAGCACCGGUUGGUAAUUAUUGUACAAUCGGAUUACGAAUAAUCCGCCGGAUCCCGAACGUCAUCGUCCCGCGUCGUCGGGCUACUCCCACGCCCCUUUGAACCGCUCGUUUUAGACCGUCCACGUGUCUUAGCGUGUUGGACAUUCGCCCACGCAAGCGCGGGUGGGACCGGCAUCUGUUGGC